AAAAAUCCACAAAGAAUCAUAGAAAAUUGAAUUAGAAAGUAAGGCCACACAGAAAGCACUAUUCUAUGCUGCUUCAAAAAUCUGUGGUGGGGGAGUCACUGGUGUCCAGGAGCACAUAGCAUUGAUGUAGGUUGCUACAUUAGCAAAAAACCAAACUAAAAAACGAUGGAUUCAGUGCAACUAGCCUGUGUUACCACCUGCCACACACAGUAGGGGGUGUUCUGCUGAGAAAGGUUAGGAUGCCAGCAUGGAAACAAAAACCUGUUGUAAUGUGUCAGGCAAGCUGCCUCUUAGCUCCACCACCAUGAAAACCCCCUCCAGGACAAAGUCCCCUGCAUCUUGGUGGUUACCAGAGAAGACUUGCUCUACACCACUACUCCACAGUCCAUUUAUUCCACAAAUGAUAAUUUGCUCAAUCCGAGACCAGCUGGGCCAAAAAAAAAUUAGGUUAAAGGCAAAUGAAAGUAAUAGAAGUUAAAAAUCUAAAUAACUCUGCUCAUGGGUACCUAAUGUCUUCAGAUCAUUUGCUUAGGCAGAACAGAACCUAAACUACUAUGCUCAUGAAAUGUCUGCUCUACUUUUUAGAGUCUCUGGAGGAUGAGCAUCAUUUGCAUUUGUCAAGGGUUAGAUAAUUGUUAUUUAAGUCAAUGUUCUGAGCACAGUUGGAAGGAAUUUUAGAAGCUUUAUCUGGUCCAGCCCCCUUUUUAAAUUUCUUUUUUUUUGCAAGGCAAUUGGGGUCAUCUCCCUGUGCCCAAGUGUCCACAUCUGUAAAAUGAAGGGGUUGAACCGGCUGACAUCUAAGGUUAUCUUCCUGCUCAAAAUCUAUGAUCCUAUAAUUGGGUCCCAAGUCCCAAGUGAUGAUGUGUGUCAGUCUUUUCUCCAGUCUCUAUGUGCUCACUGGAUAGCCCUGGAUUUGGUGACAUUAAGAUAUGGGUUCAAAUUCCAUGCCGAAAAGUUUUAGUGGUGUCCUAUUGAGCAAAUUCAGGUAGCUAGGUGGGGAAGUAGAGUGCCCUCCCUGGACUCCGGAGGACCCGAGUUCAAAUUCCACCUGCGACACUUACUACCUAUGGGACCCUGGGCAAGUCGCUUAACCUCUGUUUGCCUUUAUCUAUUGAAGAAGACGCCAAAUGGGGUCAUGAAGAAUUAGACUCGAAUAAUCGACUCAAUAACAACUGAGCAAGUCACGCGGGGGCCUAUGGGCUUUAGUUUCUGAAAAAUGAGGCGAGCAGGAAUAAAAGCUAAACGUUGUGAAAUCGUAAUGAGCAAGCCUGGCCCCAAAGAAGACAUCUAAGAAGACGCCUCCACUCGCUGCUGCAGGGAUGGCUUACCAUGCGAGAACACCCUGUUUUCCAGAGCUGAGGCCCAGCAAGCAAGCUGUGCCCUGAUCUUGGCGCAACAAUCCUCUGGACUCACCCUCUGGAUGAACUCUGCUGCAGCUAAAUCCUAGAACUGGCUCGAGCCAAUCCUAGGUAGUCCCUGAGCUCAGACAAGCGCCUGCACGAUCCAUGUUCUGGUCAUCAAGCCCUGCUAUGAGUAGACUUUUUCCACUAGGCAAACUUGUCUCUGUGUUGCUGUUACUCCCUCGUUGCAGUGGCUGCACCUCAGUGCUUGCCUCUAUGUCUAGCCAUGUCUACAUGUAACAAGGCUUAGUCCUACUACUUUGGGUCUGCUGAGUCCUAGAGCAGACUCCGGCACCUGUGUCUAGUUUCCCACCUCCAGCCGAAUAAAGAAGACCUUUUGCCUAUUACCUCCAUGAUUUUUCAGAGUUUAACUGUAUAACCUCUGUGGCUCUUUGGUCAUUUAUUUUCAGAGUUUGAGAAUGGUGUAUGUGAUUAAGUUGUAUAUUGGGUCCCCUUCAACCUUUCUCCUUCCCUUUCUUUCCCAUUACUGCCAAUAAAGCUUUGCAUUGAACUGAC
This is a non-coding RNA of Phascolarctos cinereus (koala), 1916 nucleotides long. The record is from RefSeq and is a predicted model, not a curated record. NCBI's taxonomy places the organism in Eukaryota, Metazoa, Chordata, Mammalia, Diprotodontia, Phascolarctidae.